RNAcentral lists this ribosomal RNA (253 nucleotides) under uncultured bacterium. RNAcentral's name for it is "partial 16S ribosomal RNA". It matches the Rfam family "Bacterial small subunit ribosomal RNA", at positions 524 to 776 of the family's 1533-position model. The record is from RNAcentral.
UACAGAGGGUGCAAGCGUUAAUCGGAAUUACUGGGCGUAAAGCGUGCGUAGGUGGUUCUUUAAGUUAGGUGUGAAAUCCCUGGGCUCAACCUGGGAACUGCAUUUGAUACUGAAGAGCUAGGGUGUGAUAGAGGAUAGUGGAAUUCCCGGUGUAGCGGUGAAAUGUGUAGAGAUCGGGAGGAACACCGGUGGCGAAGGCGGGUCUCUGGGCAUCUCCUGACGCUGAGGCGCGAAAGCGUGGGGAGCAAACGGG